UAGGUGGGCCUGGCGACGGUUGUCCAGGUUCAAGUGCGUAGGCUUGAGAGUUAGGUAAAUCCGGCUCUCUUUAAGGCUGAGACACGACGUCGAGCACCUACGGGUGUGAAGUCAUUGAUGCCAUGCUUCCAGGAAAAGCCUCUAAGCUUCAGAUUGUAAGGAAUCGUACCCCAAACCGACACAGGUGGUCGGGUAGAGAAUACCAAGGCGCUUGAGAGAACUCGGGUGAAGGAACUAGGCAAAAUGGUACCGUAACUUCGGGAGAAGGUACGCUCUUGAUGGUGAAGUCCCUUGCGGAUGGAGCUGACGAGAGUCGCAGAUACCAGGUGGCUGCAACUGUUUAUUAAAAACAC
RNAcentral lists this ribosomal RNA (353 nucleotides) under Vibrio parahaemolyticus. RNAcentral's name for it is "partial 23S ribosomal RNA". It matches the Rfam family "Bacterial large subunit ribosomal RNA", at positions 1483 to 1816 of the family's 2925-position model. The record is from RNAcentral. Lineage: Bacteria; Pseudomonadati; Pseudomonadota; Gammaproteobacteria; Vibrionales; Vibrionaceae.